This 460-nucleotide ribosomal RNA is filed under the name uncultured bacterium. RNAcentral describes it as "partial 16S ribosomal RNA". It matches the Rfam family "Bacterial small subunit ribosomal RNA", at positions 338 to 795 of the family's 1533-position model. The record is from RNAcentral.
CCUACGGGUGGCAGCAGUGAGGAAUAUUGGUCAAUGGACGAGAGUCUGAACCAGCCAAGUAGCGUGAAGGAUGACUGCCAUAUGGGUUGUAAACUUCUUUUAUAUGGGAAUAAAAUGUUCCACGUGUGGGAUUUUGUAUGUACCAUAUGAAUAAGGAUCGGCUAACUCCGUGCCAGCAGCCGCGGUAAUACGGAGGAUCCGAGCGUUAUCCGGAUUUAUUGGGUUUAAAGGGAGCGUAGGUGGAUUGUUAAGUCAGUUGUGAAAGUUUGCGGCUCAACCGUAAAAUUGCAGUUGAAACUGGCAGUCUUGAGUACAGUAGAGGUGGGCGGAAUUCGUGGUGUAGCGGUGAAAUGCUGAGAUAUCACGAAGAACUCCGAUUGCGAAGGCAGUUCACUGGACUGCAACUGACACUGAGGCUCGAAAGUGUGGGUAUCAAACAGGAUUAGAUACCCGGGUAGUC